RNAcentral lists this unclassified non-coding RNA (356 nucleotides) under Nomascus leucogenys (northern white-cheeked gibbon). Its description in RNAcentral is "external transcribed spacer". Lineage: Eukaryota; Metazoa; Chordata; Mammalia; Primates; Hylobatidae. The record is from RNAcentral.
GGGGCCCGGCGGGCGGGGCGGGGCGCGCGCCUCCGGCGCCGUCCGUCCGUCCGUCCACCUUCCUCCUCCCUCCCGGCCUCCCGCCCGCCGCGGGCGGGGGCGGGGGCGGAGGGGGGGAGGGGCGCGCGCGUCCCCGGUCGGCGCGCCCCGCUUCUCCGGUUCCCGCCUCCUCCCCGUUCACCGCCGGGGUGGCCCGUCCGCCCCGGGCUGGGACCGGGGCACGGGGAGCGUGGGUGGGGAACCGCGGAGGCGGCCGCCGCGCCGAGCGGGGGCUCCCGCGGCCCGCCGGCCCCUGUCCCGGGGGUGUCCGCGCGGGCCCGGGGGGCGGCCACCCACCCGGGGUUCCGUCCCUCGCG